GUUGGGGGGAAUGCUGUCUGGUUCAAGGCUGCCUCUGAUUAGAUUAGAUGUAUUAUUUUGCAACGAUAGAUAAUUUAAUCUUAUACUCAAUGAUUUUCUUCCAAUCAUUAGUGCGGGGAUCUAUGCUAAUGCUGAGCUAAUGAUCAAUAUAUAUGUCGUCCUCGGACCAGGCUUCAUUCCCCUCAAU
RNAcentral lists this microRNA precursor (187 nucleotides) under Punica granatum (pomegranate). RNAcentral describes it as "mir-166 microRNA precursor family". It matches the Rfam family "mir-166 microRNA precursor family". From Rfam's summary of the family: This family represents the plant microRNA (miRNA) precursor mir-166. Animal miRNAs are transcribed as ~70nt precursors and subsequently processed by the Dicer enzyme to give a ~22nt product. Lineage: Eukaryota; Viridiplantae; Streptophyta; Magnoliopsida; Myrtales; Lythraceae. The record is from Rfam by way of RNAcentral.